This 380-nucleotide ribosomal RNA is filed under the name Salmonella enterica. RNAcentral describes it as "partial 23S ribosomal RNA". The record is from RNAcentral. Lineage: Bacteria; Pseudomonadati; Pseudomonadota; Gammaproteobacteria; Enterobacterales; Enterobacteriaceae.
GGCUGAAGUAGGUCCCAAGGGUAUGGCUGUUCGCCAUUUAAAGUGGUACGCGAGCUGGGUUUAGAACGUCGUGAGACAGUUCGGUCCCUAUCUGCCGUGGGCGCUGGAGAACUGAGGGGGGCUGCUCCUAGUACGAGAGGACCGGAGUGGACGCAUCACUGGUGUUCGGGUUGUCAUGCCAAUGGCACUGCCCGGUAGCUAAAUGCGGAAGAGAUAAGUGCUGAAAGCAUCUAAGCACGAAACUUGCCCYGAGAUGAGUUCUCCCUGAGACUUARAGUCUCCUGAAGGAACGUUGAAGACGACGACGUUGAUAGGCCGGGUGUGUAAGCGCAGCGAUGCGUUGAGCUAACCGGUACUAAUGAACCGUGAGGCUUAACCUU